Molecule: ribosomal RNA, 481 nt
Filed under: uncultured bacterium
Lineage: Bacteria
Description: partial 16S ribosomal RNA
Rfam family: Bacterial small subunit ribosomal RNA
Source: RNAcentral
GAUGAACGCUGGCGGCGUGCUUAACACAUGCAAGUCGAACGAAGCACUUUAUUUGAUUUCCUUCGGGACUGAUUAUUUUGUGACUGAGUGGCGGACGGGUGAGUAACGCGUGGGUAACCUGCCUUGUACAGGGGGAUAACAGUUGGAAACGGCUGCUAAUACCGCAUAAGCGCACAGCAUCGCAUGAUGCAGUGUGAAAAACUCCGGUGGUAUAAGAUGGACCCGCGUUGGAUUAGCUAGUUGGUGAGGUAACGGCCCACCAAGGCGACGAUCCAUAGCCGACCUGAGAGGGUGACCGGCCACAUUGGGACUGAGACACGGCACAAACUCCUACGGGAGGCAGCAGUGGGGAAUAUUGCACAAUGGGCGAAAGCCUGAUGCAGCGACGCCGCGUGAGCGAAGAAGUAUUUCGGUAUGUAAAGCUCUAUCAGCAGGGAAGAUAAUGACGGUACCUGACUAAGAAGCACCGGCUAAAUACGUG